This 29-nucleotide non-coding RNA is filed under the name Rattus norvegicus (Norway rat). Lineage: Eukaryota; Metazoa; Chordata; Mammalia; Rodentia; Muridae. The record is from RNAcentral.
UAAUGGAAACGAUGUAGGGAAACUGAAGC